This 465-nucleotide ribosomal RNA is filed under the name Vreelandella stevensii. RNAcentral's name for it is "partial 16S ribosomal RNA". It matches the Rfam family "Bacterial small subunit ribosomal RNA", at positions 338 to 795 of the family's 1533-position model. The record is from RNAcentral. Lineage: Bacteria; Pseudomonadati; Pseudomonadota; Gammaproteobacteria; Oceanospirillales; Halomonadaceae.
CCUACGGGUGGCAGCAGUGGGGAAUAUUGGACAAUGGGGGCAACCCUGAUCCAGCCAUGCCGCGUGUGUGAAGAAGGCCCUCGGGUUGUAAAGCACUUUCAGUGAGGAAGAACGCCUGGUGGUUAAUACCCAUCAGGAAAGACAUUACUCACAGAAGAAGCACCGGCUAACUCCGUGCCAGCAGCCGCGGUAAUACGGAGGGUGCGAGCGUUAAUCGGAAUUACUGGGCGUAAAGCGCGCGUAGGUGGCUUGAUAAGCCGGUUGUGAAAGCCCCGGGCUCAACCUGGGAACGGCAUCCGGAACUGUCAAGCUAGAGUGCAGGAGAGGAAGGUAGAAUUCCCGGUGUAGCGGUGAAAUGCGUAGAGAUCGGGAGGAAUACCAGUGGCGAAGGCGGCCUUCUGGACUGACACUGACACUGAGGUGCGAAAGCGUGGGUAGCAAACAGGAUUAGAUACCCCUGUAGUC